RNAcentral lists this ribosomal RNA (935 nucleotides) under uncultured archaeon. RNAcentral describes it as "bacterial SSU rRNA". It matches the Rfam family "Archaeal small subunit ribosomal RNA", at positions 1 to 922 of the family's 1478-position model. The record is from RNAcentral.
UUCCGGUUGAUCCUGCCGGACCCGACCGCUAUUUGGGUGAGGAUAAGCCAUGCGAGUCGAAUGGGAAACCUAAAAUUCCCAUGGCAAACUGCUCAGUAACACAUGAUCAACUUACCCUAUAGAGAAAAAUAACCUCGGGAAACUGAGGAUAAUGUUUCAUAAUUGAAUCGGCUUGGAAAAGUUUUUCAAUUAAAAGAAUAAGAAAAAUGGUUCUUGUUCGCUAUAGGAUAGGAUCGUGGACGAUUAUGGUUGUUGGUGAGGUAACGGCUCACCAAGCCGAUAAUCGAUAGGGGCCGUGAGAGCGGGAGCCCCGAGAUGGGUACUGAGACAACGACCCAGGCCUUACGAGGCGCAGCAGGCGCGGAACCUCCGCAAUACACGAAAGUGUGACGGGGUUACCCAAAGUGUUCAUUAUUGAACUGUGGUAGGUGAGUAAUGUUCCCUACUAGAAAGGAGAGGGCAAGGCUGGUGCCAGCCGCCGCGGUAAAACCAGCUCUUCAAGUGGUCGGGAUAAUUAUUGGGCUUAAAGUGUCCGUAGCUGGUUUAGUAAGUUCCUGGUAAAAUCGGGUAGCUUAACUAUCCGUAUGCUAGGAAUACUGCUAUACUAGAGGGCGGGAGAGGUCUGAGGUACUACAGGGGUAGGGGUGAAAUCUUAUAAUCCUUGUAGGACCACCAGUGGCGAAGGCGUCAGACUGGAACGCGCCUGACGGUGAGGGACGAAAGCCAGGGGAGCGAACCGGAUUAGAUACCCGGGUAGUCCUGGCCGUAAACGAUGCAUACUAGGUGAUGGUACGGCCAUGAGCCGUAUCAGUGCCGUAGGGAAACCGUUAAGUGUGCCGCCUGGGAAGUACGGUCGCAAGGCUAAAACUUAAAGGAAUUGGCGGGGGAGCACCACAAGGGGUGAAGCCUGCGGUUCAAUUGGAUUCAACGCCGGG